This 440-nucleotide ribosomal RNA is filed under the name uncultured bacterium. RNAcentral's name for it is "partial 16S ribosomal RNA". It matches the Rfam family "Bacterial small subunit ribosomal RNA", at positions 338 to 795 of the family's 1533-position model. The record is from RNAcentral.
CCUACGGGAGGCAGCAGUGGGGAAUAUUGCACAAUGGGGGAAACCCUGAUGCAGCGACGCCGCGUGAGUGAAGACGUAAUUCGUUAUGUAAAGCUCUAUCAGUAGGGAAGAAAAUGACGGUACCUGAGUAAGAAGCCCCGGCUAACUACGUGCCAGCAGCCGCGGUAAGACGGCGGGGGCAAGCGUUAUCCGGAUUUACUGGGUGUAAAGGGAGCGUAGACGGCAGUGCAAGUCUGGAGUGAAAGGCGGGGGCUCAACCCCCGGACUGCUCUGGAAACUGUACGGCUGGAGUGCAGGAGAGGUAAGUGGAAUUCCUGGUGUAGCGGUGAAAUGCGUAGAUAUUAGGAGGAACACCAGUGGCGAAGGCAGCUUACUGGACUGUAACUGACGUUGAGGCUCGAAAGCGUGGGGAGCAAACAGGAUUAGAUACCCUAGUAGUC